RNAcentral lists this ribosomal RNA (425 nucleotides) under uncultured bacterium. RNAcentral's name for it is "bacterial SSU rRNA". It matches the Rfam family "Bacterial small subunit ribosomal RNA", at positions 356 to 773 of the family's 1533-position model. The record is from RNAcentral.
GGGGAAUAUUGGACAAUGAGCGAAAGCCUGAUCCAGCCAUGCCGCGUGUGUGAAGAAGGUCUUCGGAUUGUAAAGCACUUUAAGUUGGGAGGAAGGGCAUUAACCUAAUACGUUAGUGUUUUGACGUUACCGACAGAAUAAGCACCGGCUAACUUCGUGCCAGCAGCCGCGGUAAUACGAAGGGUGCAAGCGUUAAUCGGAAUUACUGGGCGUAAAGCGCGCGUAGGUGGUUCGUUAAGUUGGAUGUGAAAGCCCCGGGCUCAACCUGGGAACUGCAUCCAAAACUGGCGAGCUAGAGUACGGUAGAGGGUGGUGGAAUUUCCUGUGUAGCGGUGAAAUGCGUAGAUAUAGGAAGGAACACCAGUGGCGAAGGCGACCACCUGGACUGAUACUGACACUGAGGUGCGAAAGCGUGGGGAGCAAAC